CAAGAUUGAUAAAAAUCAGGCCUUGCUCAUUCCUGCUUUAGGGGAAAGUUGGGGACAUGCUGCUACAAUACGGCUAAUCUUUCAUUGGGACCUAAAGCAAAGCCCCUGACAAUCACCAUUCUACCUUGUCUCUGAAUUUGACUCGUCUACCUACGCCGUAUAAUUGGAAUCAUACAAUAUUUGUUCUGGUGUGACUGACUUAUUUCACUUAGUAUAAUGUCUUCAUGGCUCAUUAUGUUGUAGCAUGUGUCAGAAUUUUUUUCCUUUUUAAGUCUGAAUAAUAUUCUAUUGUAUAUACAUACCACGUUUUGUUAAUUCAUCUGUGGACGGAUACUUGGGUUGCUUCUACAUUCUGGCUGUUGUCAAUAAGUUACAGUGUAUCAGUUUUAUUUAUUUAUUUUUUUGUUUUUUUUGUUUGGUUUUUUGCUUGUAAGUGUAUCAGUUUUAAAGUAUAUUUUUUGUUGUUUGUUUGUUGAGAUGGACUUUUGCUCUUAUUGCAUGGUCUGGAGUCCAGUGGCGUGAUCUCGGCUCACUGAAACUCCUACCUCCCAGGUUGAAGUGAUUCCCCUGCCUCAACCUCUCAAGUAGCUGGCAUUACAGGCAUAUGCUACCACACCCAGCUAAUUUUGUAUUUUUAGUAGCGAUGGGGUUUCUCCAUGUUAGUCAGGCUGGUCUCGAAUUCCUGACCUCAGGUGAUUUGCCCACCUCAGCCUCCCAAAGUUCUGGGAUUACAGGCUGAACCACUAUGCCCAGCCUAAAGUAAUUCUUAAAAGCAGUUUUGUUGUUGUUGUUUGUUUGUUUGAGAUGGAGUUUCACUCUU
Molecule: non-coding RNA, 820 nt
Organism: Callithrix jacchus (white-tufted-ear marmoset)
Lineage: Eukaryota; Metazoa; Chordata; Mammalia; Primates; Cebidae
Source: RefSeq, a predicted model, not a curated record